This 380-nucleotide long non-coding RNA is filed under the name Equus caballus (horse). RNAcentral describes it as "lncRNA (ENSECAG00000028383.3)". The record is from RNAcentral. Lineage: Eukaryota; Metazoa; Chordata; Mammalia; Perissodactyla; Equidae.
CGAGAUGUCUUUUCCAUGCCUGCGAGAAUGAGCAGCCAUGUUGAGGAAAAUGGCUCUUCUGUAGAGUCCCUGGGAUGCAGCUGUCUCUAGACCCCUUGACAAAGACAGCGAGGCUCAUCGUGGUAAGACCAGCCUCUCACUUAGGGUGAAGAAGCAAGCCACACGGCUUCUGACGGCUCCACACGAAACCAUCUGAGCGGCACUUGAAAGGAUCUUUGCUAUCUUUGGUCCAACACUGGACCUAACUCUCAACAGUGGCCUCACAGUUUCACUCAUCAAACUCGUGGCAGGCAGGACAUUAGUUAAUAAACCCCUAUGGCCAGCUGGACAAGAGAAUGAAGCUUCUCAUACAAAAUGUCCACAAGGCAGUCUUUCCGAAG